Molecule: long non-coding RNA, 545 nt
Organism: Zingiber officinale
Lineage: Eukaryota; Viridiplantae; Streptophyta; Magnoliopsida; Zingiberales; Zingiberaceae
Exons: 2
Source: RefSeq, a predicted model, not a curated record
CGAGAGCUGAAUCGAGUCACAGUCAAGAAACAAAAAGAAAAAAAAUCCCACCGCCGACCCCUCCCCCUUUUCCUCUCCCAAAUCGUCGUUUUCCUUCCCCUCAUCACCUCCAUCACGUUCUACGGAUAUUGUCGUCGACCUUUGAGACCGACCAGGCGCCACCACAUGCACACCACCCGCGGGCGAGCUCGUGGAGGGCAUCACGACUAGGCGCGAAGGUCUCCAACCACCUACGAGCAGAGCAUAGCGACUGGCCGAGGGCUUUUGGUCAGAGAAACCAAGAAGAGAAGUGUCUUCGGAUUUGAACGGAAUUGGCUAGGUACGUUUAGGAUUUCAUUGUUGUGAAUGAUUCUUGGCUAUGAUUUUUGAACUCUGAUUUGAUUGGAAUAUAGAUCGUCUUCAAUGUGUAGUUGUUUCUUGGCCUAAAUUUAGAAGUUGUAUAGAUCUGAUUUAAGGGAUUUGUGAGGUAUGUUUAAAUGUAGUUGUUGCUCCCAUCUUCCCUUAAGAUGUAAAUGAUUACAGAAGUCAGUUUAGUUUCCUUGGUA